RNAcentral lists this ribosomal RNA (424 nucleotides) under uncultured prokaryote. Its description in RNAcentral is "bacterial SSU rRNA". It matches the Rfam family "Bacterial small subunit ribosomal RNA", at positions 355 to 796 of the family's 1533-position model. The record is from RNAcentral.
UGGGGAAUUUUGCGCAAUGGGCGAAAGCCUGACGCAGCGACGCCGCGUGACCGAUGAAGGCCCUCGGGUCGUAAAGGUCUUUCGGAGGGGACUAUAGUGAAGGUACCCUCAAAAGCAGGAGCGGCUAACUACGUGCCAGCAGCCGCGGUAAUACGUAGGCUCCAAGCGUUGUUCGGAAUUACUGGGCGUAAAGCGAGUGUAGGCGGUCCGCCAAGUCAGCUGUGAAAUCUCCCGGCUCAACCGGGAGGGUGCGGCUGAAACUGACGGACUCGAGUCCGGGAGAGGAGAGUGGAAUUCCUGGUGUAGCGGUGAAAUGCGUAGAUAUCAGGAGGAACAUCGGUGGUGAAGACGGCUCUCUGGACCGGUACUGACGCUGAGACUCGAAAGCGUGGGGAGCAAACAGGAUUAGAUACCCGGGUAGUCC